Molecule: ribosomal RNA, 253 nt
Filed under: uncultured bacterium
Lineage: Bacteria
Description: partial 16S ribosomal RNA
Rfam family: Bacterial small subunit ribosomal RNA
Source: RNAcentral
UACGGAGGGUGCAAGCGUUAAUCGGAAUUACUGGGCGUAGAGGGUGUGUAGGUGGUUUGGUAAGUUAUCUGUGAAAUCCCUGGGCUUAACCUGGGCAGGUCAGAUAAGACUGCGAGACUUGAGUAUGGGAGAGGGUAGUGGAAUUUCCGGUGUAGCGGUGAAAUGCGUAGAGAUCGGAAGGAACACCAGUGGCGAAGGCGGCUACCUGGCCUAAUACUGACACUGAGACACGAAAGCGUGGGGAGCAAACAGG